This 252-nucleotide ribosomal RNA is filed under the name uncultured bacterium. RNAcentral describes it as "partial 16S ribosomal RNA". It matches the Rfam family "Bacterial small subunit ribosomal RNA", at positions 524 to 776 of the family's 1533-position model. The record is from RNAcentral.
UACGGAGGACGCGAGCGUUAUCCGGAUUUAUUGGGUUUAAAGGGUGCGUAGGCGGACGCUUAAGUCAGCGGUAAAAUUGCGGGGCUCAACCUCGUCGAGCCGUUGAAACUGGGUGCCUUGAGUGGGCGAGAAGUACGCGGAAUGCGUGGUGUAGCGGUGAAAUGCAUAGAUAUCACGCAGAACUCCGAUUGCGAAGGCAGCGUACCGGCGCCCUACUGACGCUGAAGCACGAAGGCGUGGGUAUCGAACAGG